This is a non-coding RNA of Biomphalaria pfeifferi, 270 nucleotides long. The record is from the annotation of a GenBank genome assembly. NCBI's taxonomy places the organism in Eukaryota, Metazoa, Mollusca, Gastropoda, Planorbidae.
CACAUUAGUAUAUAAUUUUUUUUUCUGUAGUUUAUAACAAAUAAAGUAGGCCUACGUGUAAGGAAAAAAAAUUGUAAGCCUUGUUUCCAUUUUGAAUUGACUGGUCGUUUACACCACUUCGUUACAGAUACAGCAUGAAUCUUGGAUUGUAUUUGUGUUAGUGUUGACAUUUCUUUUUCAAAAUUGUAGGCCAAUAUUAAAUUGUAGCUUGUGUAAUUUAUAUUAAUAUAAAUAACGUAAUAUAUAAAUAAUCUUUUCUACUUUGACAAC